UACGUAGGGUGCGAGCGUUGUCCGGAAUUAUUGGGCGUAAAGAGCUUGUAGGCGGUUUGUCGCGUCUGCCGUGAAAUUUCGAGGCUCAACCUCGAACUUGCGGUGGGUACGGGCAGACUAGAGUGUGGUAGGGGAGACUGGAAUUCCUGGUGUAGCGGUGAAAUGCGCAGAUAUCAGGAGGAACACCGAUGGCGAAGGCAGGUCUCUGGGCCACUACUGACGCUGAGAAGCGAAAGCGUGGGGAGCAAACAGG
Molecule: ribosomal RNA, 253 nt
Filed under: uncultured bacterium
Lineage: Bacteria
Description: partial 16S ribosomal RNA
Rfam family: Bacterial small subunit ribosomal RNA
Source: RNAcentral